CCUACGGGUGGCAGCAGUGAGGAAUAUUGGUCAAUGGGCGGGAGCCUGAACCAGCCAAGUCGCGUGAGGGAAGACGGUCCUACGGAUUGUAAACCUCUUUUGCCGGGGAGCAACGGGGUCCUUGCGAGGGCCCAAUGAGAGUACCCGGAGAAAAAGCAUCGGCUAACUCCGUGCCAGCAGCCGCGGUAAUACGGAGGAUGCGAGCGUUAUCCGGAUUUAUUGGGUUUAAAGGGUGCGUAGGCGGGCUGUUAAGUCAGCGGUAAAAAUUCGGGGCUCAACCCCGUCGUGCCGUUGAAACUGAUGUUCUUGAGUGGGCGAGAAGUAUGCGGAAUGCGUGGUGUAGCGGUGAAAUGCAUAGAUAUCACGCAGAACUCCGAUUGCGAAGGCAGCAUACCGGCGCCCAACUGACGCUGAAGCACGAAAGCGUGGGUAUCGAACAGGAUUAGAUACCCUAGUAGUC
RNAcentral lists this ribosomal RNA (460 nucleotides) under uncultured bacterium. Its description in RNAcentral is "partial 16S ribosomal RNA". It matches the Rfam family "Bacterial small subunit ribosomal RNA", at positions 338 to 795 of the family's 1533-position model. The record is from RNAcentral.